Molecule: ribosomal RNA, 628 nt
Filed under: Thanatephorus sp. EM117A
Lineage: Eukaryota; Fungi; Basidiomycota; Agaricomycetes; Cantharellales; Ceratobasidiaceae
Description: eukaryotic LSU rRNA
Rfam family: 5.8S ribosomal RNA (bases 206-359)
Source: RNAcentral
AGGGAUAUUUGGUUGUAGCUGGCUCAUGAAUUUGGGCAUGUGCACACCUAUCUCUUUCAUCCACACACACCUGUGCACUUGUGAGGCAGAUGGGGAAUUUAUUGAUUGUUUUUUAAGAACAAUUGGUGCUGGACCCUCUGUCUACUCAAUAUAUAAACUCAAUUUAUUUAGAAAUGAAUGUAAUGGAUGUAACGCAUCUAAUACUAAGUUUCAACAACGGAUCUCUUGGCUCUCGCAUCGAUGAAGAACGCAGCGAAAUGCGAUAAGUAAUGUGAAUUGCAGAAUUCAGUGAAUCAUCGAAUCUUUGAACGCACCUUGCGCUCCUUGGUAUUCCUUGGAGCAUGCCUGUUUGAGUAUCAUGAAAUCUUCAAAGUAAAUCUUUUGUUAACUCAAUUGGUUCUACUUUGGUAUUGGAGGUCUUUGCAGCUUCACACCUGCUCCUCUUUGUUCAUUAGCUGGAUCUCAGUGUUAUGCUUGGUUCCACUCAGCGUGAUAAGUUAUCUAUCGCUGAGGACACUGUAACAGGUGGCCAAGGGAAAUGCAGAUGAACCGCUUCUAAUAGUCCAUUGACUUGGACACUAUUUUUAUGAUCUGAUCUCAAAUCAGGUAGGACUACCCGCUGAACUUA